This 1006-nucleotide long non-coding RNA is filed under the name Urocitellus parryii (Arctic ground squirrel). Its description in RNAcentral is "lncRNA (ENSUPAG00010004174.1)". The record is from RNAcentral. Lineage: Eukaryota; Metazoa; Chordata; Mammalia; Rodentia; Sciuridae.
AAACAGACCUGGAAUUUGUUUUUUUAAAUAUUUAUUUAUUUUUAGUUUUCAGCAGACACAACAUCUUUGUUUGUAUGUGGUGCUGAGGAUCGAACCCGGGCCACACACAUGCCAGGCGAGCGMGCUACCACUUGAGCCACAUCUCCAGCCCCCAGACCUGGAAUUUAAAUGUUCUGUGAUGGUUGUUUGAAACCGAAAAUGCUGUCUGAGGCUAACUUUUUGAGCAGUUAGCUUCUGAAUUCAGCCCCGAAGUGAAGGCUUCAACUUCAAAUAUGGCAUUGAUGAAUUAUUGAAGAAAUUACAAUUGCAGAUGUUCCAUGAUGUCCUUACAAAUCACCUAUUACUUGUAUUUUGCUGAUUUUGUGUAAAACUGGGGAGAAGGUAAGAGAAGAACAAACUAGGCUGGAGAUCACAUGGAAACUCUGAAACUCAAGACCAGAUGAAUCUGAAAUGGCAAGGGAGGCAGAAAGAAUCAAGAGGGAGAGCACGGACAAUGCACACUGGGAUCCCAAAGACUGCGAAUCUUCUUUCCUUUUGCAUUUUCGUCUAUUUUCACAGACGAGGAUAUGGUUUCCAAACGCCUCAUGUGAUGUCCAGAGUUCAGAGUUAUUCACCUCUGAAUACUCACUCAGCAAUGAAGAAAGUUAUGUGGUCAGCAGAAAUAACUAUCUUGACGUAGCAAUUCAGGGAACAUCUAUUUUAAAUCUGUCCCUUGGAAAUUUCACGAAUGAUUUAUCAAAGUCAUAUAUGAUCUAUAACUGUUUCCUUGAGAUAAAUUCUUAGGGGUAGAAUGGCAGGAUCAGAGAGUAUAAAAAGUGUGAGACUUGUAGGAAAGACGGUGGAAUGAGAUGGACAUCAUUACCCUAAGUACAUGUAUGAAGACACAAAUGGCGUGAUUCUACUUUGUGUACAACCAGAGAAAUGAAAAAUUGUGCUCUAUAUGUGUACUAUGAAUUGAAAUGCAUUCUGCUGUCAUGUAUAAUGAAUUAAAAUAAGUAAAUAAAUA